This 475-nucleotide ribosomal RNA is filed under the name uncultured fungus. Its description in RNAcentral is "eukaryotic LSU rRNA". The stretch from base 177 to 331 matches the Rfam family "5.8S ribosomal RNA". Lineage: Eukaryota; Fungi. The record is from RNAcentral.
CUGGUCCUCAACAGGGGACAUGUGCACGCUCUGUUUACACAUCCACUCACACCUGUGCACCCUCUGUAGUUCUAUGGUCUGGGGGGCCCUGCCUCCCUUCUGUGGUUCUGCAUAUUUACACACACAAUGUAACAAAGUCUUAUGGAAUGUACAUCGCGUUUAACGCAAUACAAUACAACUUUCAGCAACGGAUCUCUUGGCUCUCGCAUCGAUGAAGAACGCAGCGAAAUGCGAUAAGUAAUGUGAAUUGCAGAAUUCAGUGAAUCAUCGAAUCUUUGAACGCACCUUGCGCCCCUUGGCUAUUCCGAAGGGCAUGCCUGUUUGAGUAUCAUGAACACCUCAACUCCCGUGGUUUGCCAUGGUGAGCUUGGACUUUGGAGGUUUUGCUGGCCCAUGGUCAGCUCCUCUCAAAUGAAUUAGCCUGCCAGUGUUUGGUGGCAUCACAGGUGUGAUAAAUAUCUACGCUUGCGAUUGC